GAUGAACGCUGGCGGCGUGCCUAAUACAUGCAAGUCGAGCGAACAGACGAGGAGCUUGCUCCUCUGACGUUAGCGGCGGACGGGUGAGUAACACGUGGAUAACCUACCUAUAAGACUGGGAUAACUUCGGGAAACCGGGGCUAAUACCGGAUAAUAUAUUGAACCGCAUGGUUCAAUAGUGAAAGACGGUUUUGCUGUCACUUAUAGAUGGAUCCGCGCCGCAUUAGCUAGUUGGUAAGGUAACGGCUUACCAAGGCCACGAUGCGUAGCCGACCUGAGAGGGUGAUCGGCCACACUGGAACUGAGACACGGUCCAGACUCCUACGGGAGGCAGCAGUAGGGAAUCUUCCGAAAUGGGCGAAAGCCUGACGGAGCAACGCCGCGUGAGUGAUGAAGGUCUUCGGAUCGUAAAACUCUGUUAUUAGGGAAGAACAAAUGUGUAAGUAACUAUGCACGUCUUGACGGUACCUAAUCAGAAAGCCACGGCUAACUACGUG
This 497-nucleotide ribosomal RNA is filed under the name uncultured bacterium. RNAcentral's name for it is "partial 16S ribosomal RNA". It matches the Rfam family "Bacterial small subunit ribosomal RNA", at positions 28 to 507 of the family's 1533-position model. The record is from RNAcentral.